UACGUAGGGGGCAAGCGUUGUCCGGAAUCAUUGGGCGUAAAGCGCGUGUAGGCGGCUUGGUAAGUCUGCUCUGAAAGCCCGGGGCUCAACCCCGGGAGGCGGGUGGAUACUGUCAAGCUCGAGUCCGGAAGAGGAGUGUGGAAUUCCUGGUGUAGCGGUGAAAUGCGCAGAUAUCAGGAAGAACACCUAUGGCGAAGGCAGCACUCUGGGACGGUACUGACGCUGAGACGCGAAAGCGUGGGGAGCGAACAGG
RNAcentral lists this ribosomal RNA (253 nucleotides) under uncultured bacterium. RNAcentral's name for it is "partial 16S ribosomal RNA". It matches the Rfam family "Bacterial small subunit ribosomal RNA", at positions 524 to 776 of the family's 1533-position model. The record is from RNAcentral.